AGUGAACGCUGGCGGUAGGCCUAACACAUGCAAGUCGAACGGCAGCACAGUAAGAGCUUGCUCUUACGGGUGGCGAGUGGCGGACGGGUGAGGAAUACAUCGGAAUCUACUUUUUCGUGGGGGAUAACGUAGGGAAACUUACGCUAAGACCGCAUACGACCUACGGGUGAAAGCAGGGGAUCUUCGGACCUUGCGCGAUUGAAUGAGCCGAUGUCGGAUUAGCUAGUUGGCGGGGGAAAGGCCCACCAAGGCGACGAUCCGUAGCCCGUCUGAGAGGAGGAUCACCCACACUGGAACUGGGACACGGUCCAGACUCCUACGGGAGGCAGCAGUGGGGAAUGUUGGACAAUGGGCGCAAGCCUGAUCCAGCCAUACCGCGUGGGUGAAGAAGGCCUUCGGGUUGUAAAGCCCUUUUGUUGGGAAAGAAAAGCAGCAGGUUAAUACCCCGCUGUUCUGACGGUACCCAAAGAAUAAGCACCGGCUAACUUCGUG
This 492-nucleotide ribosomal RNA is filed under the name uncultured bacterium. RNAcentral describes it as "partial 16S ribosomal RNA". It matches the Rfam family "Bacterial small subunit ribosomal RNA", at positions 29 to 507 of the family's 1533-position model. The record is from RNAcentral.